RNAcentral lists this ribosomal RNA (460 nucleotides) under uncultured bacterium. RNAcentral describes it as "partial 16S ribosomal RNA". It matches the Rfam family "Bacterial small subunit ribosomal RNA", at positions 338 to 795 of the family's 1533-position model. The record is from RNAcentral.
CCUACGGGAGGCAGCAGUGAGGAAUAUUGGGCAAUGGGCGCUAGCCUGACCCAGCCACGCAGCGUGAAGGAUGACUGCCCUAUGGGUUUUAAACUUCUUUUAUAUGGGAAUAAAAUGCAGUAUGUAUACUGCUUUGCAUGUACCUUAUGUAUAAGGAUCGGCUAGCUCCGUGCCAGCAGCCGCGGUAAUACGGAGGAUCCGAGCGUUAUCCGGAUUUAUUGGGUGUAAAGGGAGCGUAGAUGGGUUGUUAAGUCAGUUGUGAAGGUUUGGGGCUCAACCGGAAAAUUGCAAUUGAUACUGGCAGUCUUGAGUACAGGUGAGGUAGGCGGAAUUCGUGGUGUAGCGGUGAAAUGCGUAGAUAUCACGAAGAACUCCGAUUGCGAAGGCAGUUUACUAAACUGCAACUGACAUUGAUGCUCGAAAGUGUGGGGAGCAAACAGGAUUAGAUACCCUUGUAGUC